UACAGAGGGGGCAAGCGUUGUUCGGAAUCAUUGGGCGUAAAGGGCACGUAGGUGGUCGUGUAUGUCUCCCGUGAAAGCCCACGGCUCAACCGUGGUGUGUCGGGAGAAACUGCAGGACUUGAGGCUGGGAGGGGCUGGUGGAAUUCCCUGUGUAGCGGUGAAAUGCGUAGAGAUGGGGGAGAACACUCGUGGCGAAGGCGGCCAGCUAGACCAGUUCUGACACUGAGGCGCGACAGCGUGGGGAGCAAACAGG
Molecule: ribosomal RNA, 253 nt
Filed under: uncultured bacterium
Lineage: Bacteria
Description: partial 16S ribosomal RNA
Rfam family: Bacterial small subunit ribosomal RNA
Source: RNAcentral